CAAGGAAUUUUCCCCAAUGGGCGCAAGCCUGAGGGAGCAACGCCGCGUGCAGGACGACGGCUUUCGGGUUGUAAACUGCUUUUGCGUGGGACGAUAACGACGGUACCACGCGAAUAAGCCCCGGCUAACUCUGUGCCAGCAGCCGCGGUAAUACGGAGGGUGCAAGCGUUAAUCGGAAUUACUGGGCGUAAAGCGCGCGUAGGCGGUUGUGUAAGUCGGAUGUGAAAGCCCCGAGCUUAACUUGGGAAUUGCAUUCGAUACUGCGCAACUAGAGUAUGGGAGAGGGAAGUGGAAUUUCCGGUGUAGCGGUGAAAUGCGUAGAUAUCGGAAGGAACACCAGUGGCGAAGGCGACUUCCUGGACCAAUACUGACGCUGAGGUGCGAAAGCGUGGGGAGCAAACAGG
Molecule: ribosomal RNA, 404 nt
Filed under: uncultured prokaryote
Description: bacterial SSU rRNA
Rfam family: Bacterial small subunit ribosomal RNA
Source: RNAcentral